Molecule: RNA transcript, 5179 nt
Organism: Syngnathoides biaculeatus (alligator pipefish)
Lineage: Eukaryota; Metazoa; Chordata; Actinopteri; Syngnathiformes; Syngnathidae
Gene: ids
Gene name: iduronate 2-sulfatase
Exons: 17
Source: RefSeq, a predicted model, not a curated record
CUAUUUAAUAGGAAGUUGCGCUGUGAGAAAGUUUGCAGGCAGGCAAUUAAAAAUUGCGGAAGCGACAUUUCCAAGCUUUUUCUCGUUUCACGCGUAUAAAUGGCUUGAAAAGUUUCAUUUCGACGUCGUAGCAACAUGUGGCUCACUGUCCAUAAAUGUUUGAUCGUCCUACUGCACGCGCUUGUUGCUGUAGCGAUAAAAGAGAGGCAAAAUGUCCUUUUCAUCAUUGCUGACGAUCUGAGGACAUCUUUGGGCUGCUAUGGAGACGCCACCGUAAAAUCGCCAAAUAUUGACCAACUGGCAUCCAAAAGUCACGUUUUUCUCAAAGCUUUUGCACAGCAAGCUGUGUGCGCUCCGAGUAGGACUUCCAUGUUAACAAGUCGCAGACCAGACACAACCAGGCUGUACGAUUUUAAAUCCUACUGGAGAGUCCACGCAGGAAAUUACACGACUCUUCCACAGUAUUUUAAAUCACAAGGUUAUACUACUAUGUCUGUGGGCAAGGUUUUUCACCCAGGCAUCGCCUCCAACCAUACUGAUGACUAUCCCUACAGCUGGUCCAUCCCUCCGUACCACCCGGCUUCAUUUAACUUUGAGAAGAAAAAGGUGUGUAAAGGAGAGGAUGGUCGACUGCAUGCCAACCUGCUGUGCGCAGUGAAUGUGAGCGAGCAGCCCGGGGGGACCCUCCCCGACAUGGAGAGCGCGGACGAGGCGGUGAGGCUACUGAAAAGGGGGGCCGCGGACGGCAGCCCUUUCUUCCUGGCUGUGGGCUUUCACAAACCUCACAUUCCCUUCCGGAUCCCGCGGGAGUAUUUGCGCCUCUACCCCUUAGAACAAAUGACUCUGGCCCCCGACCCAGACGUCCCCAAGCGCCUCCCCGCUGUGGCCUACAACCCUUGGACAGACAUUAGGAAGCGAGACGACAUCCAAAAGCUCAACGUCAGUUUCCCUUAUGGACCGAUUCCGAAAGACUUUCAGCUACGUCUCCGCCAGCACUACUACGCUGCCGUGUCCUACGUGGAUGCCCAGGUGGGCCGGGUGCUCAGCGCCCUCGAUGCCCUGGGGCUGGCUCGGAACACCAUCGUGGUUUUCACCUCCGAUCACGGUUGGUCACUCGGUGAGCACGGCGAAUGGGCGAAGUACUCCAACUUUGACGUGGCAACCCAGGUCCCCCUUCUCUUCUACGUCCCUGAAGUUGGCGAAACUUACGCUCGGCUGAAAGCGUCUACUUUCCCCUUUGUGGACGUCUUCAGCCGAUCAGAGUUCAUCUUCGAGACUGCUGAAGCUAUAGAGAACGUGGUGGAGCUGGUGUCGGUUUUCCCAACCGUUGCCCAGUUGGCCGGCCUGAAAAUACCCGCACCCUGUCCCGAUGUUUCUUUCCAGGUGGAGCUGUGCACAGAUGGAAUGGACCUGGCGCUUGAAUUCAAACCCAAAAAGAAAAUUAAUAGGGAGGCAUUGGCUUUCAGCCAGUACCCGCGGCCUGCUGAUACGCCACAGGAGGACUCGGACCUCCCCGACCUGAAAGACAUAAAGGUGAUGGGCUACUCCCUGCGUUGCUACGACUACAGAUUUACUCUGUGGCUCGGCUUUGACCCCAAAACGUAUCAGGUCAACAUGUCCGACGUCCACGCCGGAGAAAUUUACUUGCUGGCAGACGACCCCGGUCAGGACAACAACGUGUACGAUGACAUUGAGCAACGCGGCGUGAACACGACGAUGAUGAUGAUGAAGAUGAAGAACGUGCCCGCCGCUGGCGGUGUACAGAUGAGGAUGAAACUGCAACUCGUCUACCUCACUGCAGGAUUGAAGAAGGCACCGUGACGCAUGGUCGCGCAUCAGCAAAGGAACUCAAAAGCAAAAAUAAAUGCAGACUCUGCGGGACACAAGGUCAGAUUUCAACAGCAAAUUUCACACGCUGCUUGCUUGGAGGAACGUCGAUAAUGAAAGCGUUGGACGAGUUUUUCUGUCGUCUUUACGCGGGUCACGUUUCUGAUGCACUUUGUCACCUCGUGAACACGUUUGCGCCAUUUGUGUGCGCGUGCUCGCUGUCAUAAUUCAGUACAAAAGAAGUGAUUCCAGUCUAUUUGCCAUUUGUAAAAUGUCCAUGGGAAGUUAAGGAGGAAUUUUGGAAUUGCCACAAAUCAAAAUUUGUACUGCAUAAAACAAGUCCACCCACUCAAACGGCCCGAUUUCAGCAAGACAAGAAAUAGGAAGGAAGCUGCAUACGCCAUCUGGAGCUGAGCUUCUUCCUUUCAUUCUAUUGACAACGUGCAGACAAUGAAGUCAAGAUUCAUCGCAAAUGAUGCAAAUAGUCCAAUGAAUGAAUGUAGAAAUCCAUCAAUGUCUUUUUGAAUGGAGGACUUUCUUUAUUGCAAACAGACCGUGCUGAGUGCACCUGUGAGAUUUUAUUCAUUAAAAAAAACAGCAUCUAAUUAUGAGAAUCCAUGAGUAUUAUUAUUUUUUUUAAUGACUGUAAAUCCAAUGAUAGCGAGAGAUUUUAGAUGUGCUUCCGCUUUGGGAAAUUUAAAGGCUCCAUUUUUUCUUCUCUGUGCAUGAACUUUACUUUGCUGUUAAUUUUUCACCGCACACUGAUGUUAAUUUCUUAUUUUUAUGGCAUUUGUCAUAAAUGGCAUAGUCUAGUCGUGUUACAGGAGCCGAUGGACCUUUCCGAUGGCGAUCUUAAGCUCCGCCCCCUUAGCCAUGUCCCACAAGCUUCCAAAAUGGCGAUUGAACAGAACAUGUUUGAAGUCGAUUCUCUAUCGUGUAUUCCAGAUAACAUUGCGAUAUAUAUAUAUAUUUUUUUUUUUUGCCAAAUGCGUCAGACUUUUGUCCAAAUACUUUGAAACGACUGGAGGAUGAAAGAAAUCCACAUUACUUACAUUCAUCCAUCCAUUUUCUUAGCCGCUUAUCCUCACGAGGGUCACAGGUGUGCUGGAGCCUAUCCCAGUUGUCAACGGGCAGGAGGCGGGGUACACCCUGAACUGGUUGCCAGCCAAUCGCAUGGCACAUGGAGACAGACAACAGUCGCACACACAAUCACACCUAUGGGCAAUUUAGAGUGUCCAAUUAAUGUAACAUAAAACCAUUUUUUAAAAACUUCUUGGAUUACAGCCACAUGUGUACAUUUGACUUACACCCUGCUUAUUUUAUUUAGAAUCCAUUGCAGUAUAAAGUUGUCAACAAUGAAAGAAAAAACAUAUUUUCCAGGUACAUAGACACGAGUCAGCGAGAGGUUCCACCGCAAUGCGUAUCGUUUCAAAAUUUGUCCCCACGAUCGUAAAACUAGUCGACGCGCUUUCCGACACAAGACACGAGCGCUUGUUGGUCUGACGCUACCAUUUAUUGCAUGCAACGUUUUUCAUAUCAGGCAAUUCGGACAAAAACCCCUCAAAACAUCAAGAAAACGGACAAUGGAAAACUCGACACUUUUUGAAUCACGUAUUUUCCCUCCAGCCGAACCCCGAUGUCAUCAUACGUUAAAUGCUAGUAAAAAGCUCAUGGAAACAUUUGAUUUUACAAAAAACAAUCUCAUAUUUGUACCAAUAUGGUAUGGAAAAUCACUUAGAUUCAGUAUUUGUUCUUAAAUAAAUAGAGCAAUUCCCACUGGACACGAAUAGAGGCACUUGAGUUUUGUUUUUUUUUUUGUUUUCCGUUUUUUUUUUGUUUUUUUUUUUGUCAAAUUUCCACAUCCGCAUCGUCUUCCGUACACAUUCAGCAGUGGUUACAUGAUUGAGAACCCAAAACGCUCACUCUCGAUGAGACCAUGACAACAACAACGACAACAAAAAUAAAUACGAUUCAAAUCAAACAACAAGUGUCGGCGUUUUACGUGCCAUAAAAAAAUGGCAGAUUUGUUUGCUGUGCGAAUGCGACCGAAAAGAAACACACACGGAUCUCUUUUUCUCAUCUCUCUCUCUCUCUCUCGCGCGCACACGCACGUUACAGAAUAUAGAUAUUCAAUAUCUGGUUUCACGUCAUUCGAUCGUCUGCUCACUUUGAACUGACACAAACAACCACGAGAACAAGAACACGACAACGUCACUGUUUGCAGGGGGCGGUGGGGCGGUGGGGGGGGGGUCACAGUCUCUAUAUUGCGGAGCACAAACAUCACUUGUCCAGUCGGUUUACCGAAGAAGACUCGACACGUUCGGCUGUACACGGGUACACACACACACACGCACACAACAACACGAGGAACCACCAAAAUGUCCGGCGCCCAUUUGAUCCGUUUUUUUUUUUUUUUAUUUAUUUUUUUUGUGCAAAGUUGUCGUCGUUGCACAGUCUGUGGGUGGGGAAAGGUUAGAAAGGUUGGAAUCUUGGAUUUGAUUGUGCAACUUUGGACAGUUUGCGGGGUUGGUGGGUUGCCGCGGGAGCCAGAACUGAGCCAACAUCGGUAAAAAUAACCAGUAAGGCUGAGAAAAAAAACAAACCUCAAGACAAUAACAAAAAAGGCAGCAUUCUGUGCGUGCUGAAAAUUGGCAAAUAUUUCUCUUGGAACAAUAAAAAGAAAAAGGUCCCAAGUAAAUUCUAAUUAUCCCCACAGGUUAGCGUUUAUAUUUGGUUCAUUUUCCAGCAGCACAACAACAAACGGGUUUGUAUUCAAGCUGCUAUAUUUAGAACUGUUGGGAAUAAUAUUAUUAAUAAUAAUAAUAAUAAGGUCAUUUCAAAAGGGGGGCACUGUCAGGUUAUGAUUGCUGGCAGGAUUUAGUCCAAAAGUGCCUUAAGAAGAAGUAAUCAGCGGAUUAAGAUGUAACCAUACAAUCAGAUGGCAGGAAACAAAUUUCGGAAACCGCCGUCAACGUCUAGAUUGUAAGUAAAACAUCCAUCCAUCCAUUUUCUUUGCCGCUUAUCCUCAUGAGGGUUGCGGGGAGUGCUGGAGCCUAUCUCAGCUGUCAACGGGCAGGAGGCGGGGUACACCCUAAACUGGUCGCCAGCCAAUCGCAGGGCACAUCGAGACAAACAGUCACACUUAAAAUCACACCUAGAGGCAAUUUAGAGUCUUUUUUGGAAUGUGGGAGGAAACCGGAGUGCCCGGAGGAACCCCACCUAGAAACGGGGAGAACAUGCACACUCCACACAGGCGGGGUCCGGGAUUGAACCCCAGGACCUCAGAACUGUGAGGCCAAUGCUUUACCAGCUGAGCCACCGCCAAAGUGGUUUAAAAAAAAAAAAAAAAGAA